UCUGUGACGUUACUCGCAGAAGAAGCACCGGCUAACUUCGUGCCAGCAGCCGCGGUAAUACGAGGGGUGCAAGCGUUAAUCGGAAUUACUGGGCGUAAAGCGUGCGUAGGUGGUUUGUUAAGCAAGAUGUGAAAGCCCCGGGCUCAACCUGGGAACUGCAUUUUGAACUGGCAGGCUAGAGUAUUGUAGAGGGUAGUGGAAUUUCCAGUGUAGCGGUGAAAUGCGUAGAGAUUGGAAGGAACAUCAGUGGCGAAGGCGGCUACCUGGACAAAUACUGACACUGAGGCACGAAAGCGUGGGGAGCAAACAGGAUUAGAUACCCUGGUAGUCCACGCCGUAAACGAUGUCAACUAGCCGUCUGUGGUCUUGAACCGUGGGUGGCGUAGCUAACGCGCUA
Molecule: ribosomal RNA, 397 nt
Filed under: uncultured Gammaproteobacteria bacterium
Lineage: Bacteria; Pseudomonadati; Pseudomonadota; Gammaproteobacteria
Description: bacterial SSU rRNA
Rfam family: Bacterial small subunit ribosomal RNA
Source: RNAcentral